CAGAGGGGGCAAGCGUUGUUCGGAAUUACUGGGCGUAAAGGGCGCGUAGGCGGCCCGCUAAGUCGAACGUGAAAUCCCCGAGCUCAACUCGGGAACUGCGUCCGAUACUGGCGGGCUUGAAUCCGGGAGAGGGAUGCGGAAUUCCAGGUGUAGCGGUGAAAUGCGUAGAUAUCUGGAGGAACACCGGUGGCGAAGGCGGCAUCCUGGACCGGCAUUGACGCUGAGGCGCGAAAGCUAGGGGAGCAAACGGGAUUAGAUACCCCGGUAGUCCUAGCCCUAAACGAUGAAUGCUUGGUGUGGCGGGUAUCGAUCCCUGCCGUGCCGAAGCUAACGCAUUAAGCAUUCCGCUGGGGAUACGGUCGCAAGGCUG
RNAcentral lists this ribosomal RNA (370 nucleotides) under uncultured organism. RNAcentral describes it as "bacterial SSU rRNA". It matches the Rfam family "Bacterial small subunit ribosomal RNA", at positions 526 to 896 of the family's 1533-position model. The record is from RNAcentral.